This is a long non-coding RNA of Brassica napus (rape), 1042 nucleotides long. RefSeq lists it as uncharacterized. NCBI's taxonomy places the organism in Eukaryota, Viridiplantae, Streptophyta, Magnoliopsida, Brassicales, Brassicaceae. The record is from RefSeq and is a predicted model, not a curated record. The transcript has 2 exons.
AUUAACUUUUGAAGCAUGCAAAUUUACGAUUUUGCCUUUACUAAUAAUUAUAUCCGAAUUAAAAAAUAUAUUUAAUACUAUAAGAAAGAAAGAAAAGCAAGCACUUUACCUUUUGUCGGGUUUCUCCACCUACGGCGAAACGCUCUCCUCGUCGUCUCCUUCACCUCCAUCUCCGAUGGUUCCUUUUCCCUCACAACCAGCUUCGUCUCCAUCACCAGCGUGACUUCUUCGUCUCUUCCUACUCGACAAACCCGAAAUCGAUUUCGCCUCAAUCACAUCCAGCUUCAACUACAAGUUACUCUAACCUGUGACUCUUUAAUCUAUGCUAAUCGAAUUGUUGUUAUCAUAGAUAAAUUGAUUGCAUCUUGAAAUUUUGAAACCCUAAUUCCCAGUUUCAUCUCACUGACUUUCAGAUCUGUUAAUUGUAUUUGAUGAAUUAACAUUCGCUCUCUGUUUUUAUUUAAAGUUGUAUAAACUAGUAACUUGGUUUCGGAUUGUUUGAAAUUGUUUUCUCUUAGGGUCUGAUGAGAUACGUACGUGAUAUUGGCAAGAUAAUAGUAACAGUUCCAGAACAAAUUUUCUGGGAAGAAAAACAACUAUUUCUUGGUGAAACAGUUCGGCAGAGGCAAUGCUAAUGUUUAAUUUACCAAAGAGAGUAACAACCUCUGCAAACUCAACUCUUACAGGCACUCUGGUUACACACAACUCUUUUAUUUUCCUCUAAAGUCUUGUUAAUCUGUUGGAUAAAAUGUUGUUUAAGGACACAAGUUACUGCCUUUAGGUUUGGCGUACCAGAAGACGGUGACAAGGAGAAAGGUGUGGUACUUGGAACCACCAAGACAGAAACAAAACAAGCUUAAGCUCUAUGUUAACAAGUUUAUAGGUUAUAAAGAUUUUUCGUGGGCAGUUUAGUUUCUUGCUUGCAACACCUCCAUUGUUAUGUUCUUUUUCUUAAAAUGAUAUUAAAAAAAAACUAGUAAGCUGGUUGCUGUCCACAUUCCUUGUCCACAGACAAGUAAUACUAGUAGCUGCUCUUUGAUGA